Sander lucioperca (pikeperch) is the source of this 925-nucleotide long non-coding RNA. RefSeq lists it as uncharacterized. The record is from RefSeq and is a predicted model, not a curated record. The transcript is spliced from 2 exons. Lineage: Eukaryota; Metazoa; Chordata; Actinopteri; Perciformes; Percidae.
ACCGCUCCCUGUUCAGAUGCACCAAUCAGGGCCAUGGGGGGGGGUGUCUAACUGCGUGUCAAUCACUGCUCAUGCACACGCAUUCAUUCUCCCUUGUGGGGGGAGGGGCUUAGGAGACCGUUUUGUGCUUUAGCGGAAAGUGGGGAGGGACCGAGAAGUUGUCGAUGUUCAAUUUUUUUGGCUAAGUCCUGGAUCUUCACAAUCCCACCUACAGCACCUUUAAGGAAACAAAAGUACAUAUUUAUAGUUUACAUCUUAUGUUCUACAGAAUCUGCUUACUGUGGUGAUUGAUUUACACUUCAUUGUUAAAAUUUCUUAUUAUAAUGUAUCUCAUGACAUAGUCAACAUAUAUCUAUAUACCAAAAAUAUCUAUUUAAACAUCUGUUAAACCCACAGACAUUUAGUUUGUAAAGACACCAAAUAUAUAUAUAUAUAAAGUUUGACUCAAUUUGCAAAAAAUGCUGCAAUAUCUUGAUUUUUUUCUAUUUCAUGUGGAUGCACAGAAAACAUAUUGCUGAAUAUUUCAUUAUGUUAUGAAGCUAUAUUAAAGAUUAAGGCCUAUUACAUGCCUAUAGUGUCUACAGACCAUAGUAUAACAUAACACAAUAACACAACAACCACAUAUCUCACAUACAUAAAAAUCACUCACAGAAAUUUUGAGAAUUGUUGAGUUAACAAUUUCUGAAGUGAUUACAAAAGGUCUGGUACGGACUGACCAUGUGAUGUAUGGGUCGUUAUACCGGGUAUAAAAAAGUUAAUGAUAUAAUAGAACAGAUUGUGUGAAAGGGUAUUGCUUAAUUACUCAUCUCUUAAGCCAUUUUUAUUUGUUUUGUGAAUACUGUAAGAUGCUUUAUGAGUCAAAGAAAUCUGUAAAUAUGUGAUUGUAAAAAUAAAAACUGUAAAAUAAAGCAGCUGUUGAACACAA